GGAUGAACGCUAGCGGCAGGCUUAACACAUGCAAGUCGAGGGGCAGCACGGGUAGCAAUACCUGGUGGCGACCGGCGCAAGGGUGCGUAACGCGUGAGCAACAUGCCCUAUACAGGGGGAUAAUCCAGGGAAACUUGGUCUAAUAUCCCAUAGUAUUUAGAGGAGGCAUCUUCUAUAAAUUAAAGCUUCGGUGGUAUAGGAUUGGCUCGCGUGACAUUAGCUAGAUGGUGAGGUAACGGCUCACCAUGGCAAUGAUGUCUAGGGGUUCUGAGAGGAAGGCCCCCCACACUGGGACUGAGACACGGCCCAGACUCCUACGGGAGGCAGCAGUGAGGAAUAUUGGACAAUGGAUGGAAAUCUGAUCCAGCCAUGCCGCGUGCAGGAAGACAGCCCUAUGGGUUGUAAACUGCUUUUAUAUGGGAGCAAUAAGGUCUACGUGUAGACUGAUGAGAGUACCAUAUGAAUAAGCAUCGGCUAACUCCGUGCCAGCAGCCGCGGUAAUACGGAGGAUGCGAGCGUUAUCCGGAUUUAUUGGGUUUAAAGGGUGCGUAGGCGGCCGAGUAAGUCAGCGGUGAAAUUUUGCAGCUUAACUGUAGCAGUGCCGUUGAUACUGCAUGGCUAGGAUUUGGUUGCUGUGGGUGGAAUGUGUGGUGUAGCGGNUGAAAUGCUUAGAUAUAACACAGAACUCCGAUUGCGAAGGCAGCUUACUGGGAUGCAACUGACACUGAUGCACGAAAGCGUGGGUAUCAAACAGGAUUAGAUACCCUGGUAGUCCACGCAGUAAACGAUGAAUACUAGCUGUAUGCGAUACACCGUAUGUGGCACAGCGAAAGCGUUAAGUAUUCCACCUGGGGAGUACGUUCGCAAGAAUGAAACUCAAAGGAAUUGACGGGGGCCCGCACAAGCGGAGGAACAUGUGGUUUAAUUCGAUGAUACGCGAGGAACCUUACCCGGGCUUGAAAUGCAGAAGACCGACGAAGAAAUUCGUUUUCCAGCAAUGGCUUCUGUGUAGGUGCUGCAUGGUUGUCGUCAGCUCGUGCCGUGAGGUGUCGGCUUAAGUGCCAUAACGAGCGCAACCCUUGCCAUUAGUUGCUAACAGGUUAAGCUGAGAACUCUAAUGGGACUGCCAUCGUAAGAUGCGAGGAAGGUGGGGAUGACGUCAAAUCAGCACGGCCCUUACGUCCGGGGCGACACACGUGUUACAAUGGGUGGUACAGAGGGUUGCUACCUGGUGACAGGAUGCUAAUCUCUUAAAUCCACCCUCAGUUCGGAUCGAAGUCUGCAACUCGACUUCGUGAAGCUGGAUUCGCUAGUAAUCGCGCAUCAGCCAUGGCGCGGUGAAUACGUUCCCGGGCCU
This 1357-nucleotide ribosomal RNA is filed under the name uncultured bacterium. RNAcentral describes it as "bacterial SSU rRNA". It matches the Rfam family "Bacterial small subunit ribosomal RNA", at positions 27 to 1381 of the family's 1533-position model. The record is from RNAcentral.